UGCAAUCGAGUGGGAUCCAGCCCCAGAUGCCAAGACCCCAUAGCGCAGACUUUCUUGAAUAUGAGUCAAAGAAUGAAAUGCUGAAUAGAUCCGUGGCCAACAGAACUGCCGGUAAUUUACCGAGACAGCCACAAAGGCCUAAAUCUAGUUUAGAUAUUAACUCGUCGUAUGACCCUAGUUCAGAUAGGUAUUAUUCAGAAGAAAGUUACGCGGAAAAAAUGCGCCAAAGUGCUCAAUAUUUACAGCAAGGGUUAGGACCCCGAAACAUCCAAAUUCCUUUAGCUAAAUAUGCGAGUGGCUUGGCAGAAAAACAACUGCAUUCUCCAUACUCACACACCACGAACAAUAAUUAUGAAACAGAAUUUGGAAGUCCUAGGAAUAAUGGUGACAACUUAAGUAACCAUUUGAAAUACAACGAAGCGUUGAAUUCAAACUGGACGUUAAAGAAUAAAGAUCCUAAAGAAUACCUCAAUAGAAGUGGAAGUGUAAUGAGUGAUGGCUCUAACAUAAGUGGCUACGCGAAGGGUAUUAGUAGAGUGGAUACAAACGUUGAAGGAUUUAUGAGAUCCGCAAGUGCACGAUUACCCUCAACAGGACCUGAACGAGAGGGCGAAAAGAAAGUACAACAGCGAGAAGAAUCAAUGAAGCGAUUACUGGAAUGGAAACAGCGAAUGUUACAGUCACCUUUAACACGGAAAAGUACUCCAGCCACUAUCUCUCUCGCCCGAUCUCUAAAUCAGAGUCGGCAGUCGUUAAAAGACUAUAAAUCGAAGACCUACGCUAAUGCGUCAUAUAACAGCUAUUCUUCCGAUGAUGAAGCUUCAAUGACAAUCACUGGCAAUAAUAUGGAAUCGGGAACAAAUAAUUCGAAUCAACAAACGUUGUCCAAAAAAGCUUUCCUCGGAAGUAAUACAUCUAUUGGAAGAAGUAAUAGAGAUAGUAAUAUACCUGUGCGAGCCGUGAGUCCCAGAGUUAGAUGGGUAGAAGAAAAACCAGCUAAUGACCAAUACUCAGAACAUCUGACAGCUUCACAACAAAACUUAAGAAUUUCAAAUGCGACAGAAGAUGCGUGGGCAACGGGUAGAUCUCCAUCUAGAGCUUCACAGCAGCCAAUUAGAGCGGUUAGUCCAAGAGUUCGAAGGAACACGGAACAAGACGACAUGCUAAGGGAACAUCAGUCGAACCAGCAGUUGGGUGAAGUUCCAACGGCUGGGGAACUACUUGGCCGAACUCACGAAGAAUUGGUGUUACUUCUGAUUCAAUUACGGAGACGACAUGCAGCUACUCAUCGAGCCAUCGAACAGUGCUGUGCUCAAAUUAAUAGUAUCAAGGACUGUCUUAGUUCUCUGAAAGCUAUGGAGCGAGAAGAGAGUCUGCAAAGACUUGAACAUUUGAAAAUGCAACUGAUGGAACUAGAACACCAGUACGAAAAAAGCAAGCCGCUUGUACAGUUGGUGGAUAACAUGGUUAAACUGGGCUCCUUGUACAACAGGCCAGGAUCCACAGUCGAGCGGCUUGAGAGAAAUCAAAGGUUGAGACAGAAAGUGCUGGCUGAACAUGCGUUGGAACAACAAAGGUGGCUAGAGAGUGCUGCAGCAGGCAAACAACUGGAAACAGAAGCUGCUCGAGCGAGAGUGGCCGAGUUGUGGGCCUUAGAACAAGAGCUGGCCGACGAAGCCGCCAUUUUGCAGGGGUUGAGGACAGAUAAAGACGCAAUUGAAUCUUUACUUACAGGUGUUCGUGGUAAACUAGACAGCGUGCAAACCAGAAGCGAUCUGUCCCACAUCACGAACCAGCGCGUGCCGGGGCCCGAGCUGGGCGGCGGCGGCUCGCUGGAGGCCGAGCUGGCGCGAGUGCACGCCAUGCUGGCACUUAAUUCUAAGGUUUAUAAGAAAUUAGAGCAGACCGUGGCGGACAACGCGCGGCUGGAGCGCGAGCUGCAGCAGCUGCGGCGCGCGCUGCAGGCGCGCCGCGCCGCCGCGCCCGCGCACCCGCCGCCCGCGCACGCCACCGCCAUGCUCGAAGACGAAGUAUCCCGGGUGCAGCAGCUAGUGUCAGCUUUGCAACGCCAACGGCAGGAGCUCAGUCGGGCGGUGAGGCAUCUCACGCAACAGUCUCAAGCUUUGCAGACCACCCACGAUUCUUUACCCGGUAAACGUCGUCCAACUUCCUCAUGGCAAGAAACCAAUUUAGAUACUGGCCAUACUACCGACCACGGCAACUCUGAUUAUGACUACGACAUGGGCAGUGGAGUCAUGUCUCCUGGCAAUUACGAAAGCAGCAACAUGGACGUUCCACUGUAUGUGGACACGAGAGGAGGGGGAAACGACGUCAUGUCUCCAAUGACCAGUGAGGAAAUGCAAAAUGGCGGAUUUGCAAACCUGUCCAAUGUGGAAAAGCAGGAGAUCAAAACUGUACGCAUAGUGAAACGCGAAAGUGAAAGACGUCAAAGAGAUAGAGAGCGUUCUCUACAACCCAUGUCCGACUGGCCUUCCAAUAACAUCACUGCCAACCUUGACCAGUUUUUAGAAGAGGAGCUCAUCCAGUCUUCCAACUACUCCAGAGCUUCGUCUGUGCCUCGAACUGAUUUUAGCAAAUUUGAAGAAUACUAUUCCAAGCCUCAACCUGCCGAACCUCCAAAUUAUCUUCGACUGAACGACAAAAUGUCUUCCAUGGAACUUAGUCCUAAAUAUCCAUCAAGCCCGUCCCUAUCAAACUAUGAUUAUUCUCGAGACAUAUCAUCACUUAGUAGCAGUUACAAUAGAAGUUACGAGAAGUCUGGGUACGAUAAAACUAUUUCGAUUUCGACUCAAUAUUUGAACAGCCCCACGGAUAGUGCUAGAACUCUGACCAACGAUCCGCUGUCAAAAACGAGCAGCAUUGGCAGCUUAACGCGAUCGCAUAUGGAGUUGUCGCCUAUCUUCAAAAGCGAGGCGGCGAAACAGAUCAUAACUGAGAUGUCCGGCGAUGUGCCUAGGAACGGGUCUCUGCACAGGAGACAGGUGCCGAAGGAGAAGAGGAGGCAUUACACAGCACCACAUCAUCUAAGUGCAAAAACUCUGAACGAAAUGCCAAAGGAGGCGUACAACCAAGAUAAGCUGGGGCGGUCGCUGGACGACGCGGACAUGGAGCGAGCGCUGCGCGCGCCGCCCGACGUGGUGCGCUCGGCGCUGGCGCCGCCGCAGCGCUACGCCGACUCCAUCGACCAGCUGCUGGCCGCGCCGCAGAAGAUCCUCAUACCGGAGCGCUACAUCCCGGAGAAGCCUCCUGAACUAUCACCCGAAGAACAACAGAAGCGCCAAGAGAAAGUUGAGUCGAUCAAAAAAAUGCUUUCUGGUUCAACUGAUCCCAACACCAAGAGCCCGGACGGCGAAGAGAAGCGGCAGCGCGAGCACCUGCUGCAGAUGAACCAGCUGCUCGCCAAGCAGGUCACCGAGAUGAGCAAAAUCAUCGCCGGAACCAACACUGAGCAAGGCCCGACCGCAAACAGCAAAUAAUUAUGCCAUUUACAUACAAAUCUCACGUACAAAAUAGUUUACAUCAAUACAUCAUCCCUAAUUUUAAUAGCCCUAAUAAGUGAAUUUGUUAGUAAAUUGGCUUGAACAGCUGUCGUCUGAAGAACUGUUGCAGCAUGGUUUCGUUUUUGCAUUUUGUUUGAAAGCGUUAGAAGAGUUGCCGCAGCGCAACAACGCGGACGACCUGGACGACCGCUCUCCAGACGUGGAAUUGCCUAUUUAUCAGCAAAGGGACAAUUUCUUUACUUAAACAUCAAAAUAGAAUGUGUUGUCGGAUGAUAGGUAUAUUACUUUCAGGAUAUAUUGUAUUUGAAGAACGAUGGUUGACUUGUUGUUAUUUAUAAAACUAUAUAAAAGAAUAAUCACUGUAAUGCUAUUGCUAUGAUAGUGCGGUGUGGGUUAUAUCUAUGCUGCGUAGGCUUUGUACUGUAUUUAGUACUUUAUACGAGUAGCUAUAGAUUGGAAAGUUUUGGAGUUCCUCGUCGAGGGCGGUUUAACUCUGAUGUAUGUACCUAUUAUCCUUAGACCUGUCUUUAGGCGAUUACCACACAGAUGUCGCCGACGUCACCUAUAACCGCCUUAUGUAUACUUUACUAAGUAGGAUAAGAUCAACUUAUAGACUUAUCGUGUUGUAGUUAAUAAUUUUUAAUCAAGUUGUACGGGCUUUAAAUACUUUAUAGUGAUACCUACACUUAGAAAAAUCAAUACAAGUUUAUACUUCUUGGACUACAGAAAUGACAUUCAUCUUUUUGACUAUACAUUUUAGCUCAGUUAUUUCCAAUUCCAGUAUUAUACUUCAUGUUAUACCUACUGAUAGCGGAAAUGUUAUGUGCAAUGCGAAUCCCGGACAAACGACCGGAAAAUGCUAAGAUUAUAGGCGGAGGACCGGAAUAUAGGUACUUAUGUGAUUGCCGGUCAAGAAAAUAUUAGACUAAGGUACUACUACAUACUAUUUCAAGUUUGAUGAACACACACAUUCGAGUUAUGGAAUAAAAUUGUAAGAGGUUUCUAUGCACCAAGUCCGACCACUACAUUUCCACUGUUUUGAAUUGUGUGUGGUGAGUACACGGUAUGUAGGUAUGUUUAUAAUGGUGUUUUUCAGUACUUAAUGUUCGUUAUAUGAUAUAGACUGAUCCUGACCUGUACUUCGUUUAUUGUUGUAAUUGCGUAACAUGUACAUUGUACGUGUAGGCACUGUAUGCUGACGCGCGUUUUCGAGAUUCUGCAUAUCAGAAUAUUCAGAGUACGACAUUUUUUGCGAAUGGUGAAUAACUAGGCGUUUAAGUCUGAUGAAUGAAUUAUCAAUUUCGAGAAAAGCUGACUGAGAUGACCAAUGUUAAGAACAAAGUAACCGAUCAAUUAAUAACAUACCUGCUUAUUUACUUCAUUGUAGGUUUCUUAUGUAUUAGUGUUUGCUCAAUUUUAACAACAUUCCUUCAAAAGUUUAUUUGAAAUAUAUAUUGUAGAUAAUAUAUAUGUUUAUACUGGUAAUAUAACAACUUUCAUAAGUACUAAAUUAUAUACCUAGUACGUUUUAUAGGUCAGUUGUUUUUAUUUUUUCUACAUAAUCAUUACAAGAUAAGUAUUCUAUGUCAAAUGCCUUGGAUUGUUACUUAGAUAAGGUUCUAUGUAGUGAAUCGUAGCUGUAAGACGAUGCCAUGUUAAUCAGUUAAAUAAAUAUAGUACCUAAAGCACAUUAUCUAAUAUAAUUACUGAACUUAAGAUGAGAAAUCGAAUUAAAAUACGUUUUAGUAUUAUUUCGUUUCUUUUAUUUGUUGGUAGGUACCUACAAUAAGUUCUGUCUUAUUUUUAAGUUUUGUAUUUUAUUGUAGAAACUUAUUAUUACAAAAAAUUAUGACUAUUAUGAUUAUAUUUUUUUAUUUAUGACAUGCAUAAUUAGAAUAAAUUGUCAAUUUGUAGCAAGUAGCAUUAAAUAACUGAUUAUACCAAUUACCUACUAUUGUUAAUGGGCAUUCUUACUAUGUAAAGACUUUACCUAAUAUGCCUCUUCUCAUAUCAAUUAGUCUUGUUCUAAAUAUGAUUAGCAAUAGGCGAUGGAAUGACAGACAAAAUCAGUUAAUUUAAUCGGAACUUCAAUCACAUUUCGAUCUCUUAUUGAUGUAUAUUAUAUUGGAGUCGACAAGAUGCUAGCGAAAAAAUCGGUAAUAAUUAGGCACGUAUGUGUAACUAGAAAACAAAUUCUAGAUGUCAAUGCCCGGUAGGCAAUAGGUACGAGUCCUAUCCUCAGGCAGUGCAAAUUGGUAGUGUGGCACUUAUGAUACUCGUACAUAAUAUACCCGUACUGACUGUAGGUGCAAUAUCUAAUCGAUGCCGGGCAUUGGUAGGACAUUAGGUACUUAUGUGCAAUAAUUAAAAGGCGUAUAUUGCCAAUCAAGCUUUAAAUAGUGACUGUUGCUCGGCCUCAUAAUGUUGCAU
This is an RNA transcript of Leguminivora glycinivorella, 5951 nucleotides long. RefSeq lists it as uncharacterized. Lineage: Eukaryota; Metazoa; Arthropoda; Insecta; Lepidoptera; Tortricidae. The record is from RefSeq and is a predicted model, not a curated record. The transcript has 17 exons.